AAAGAAAGUAAGCAAGGGCGCAUGGCGGAUGCCUUGGCUCUCGGAGGCGAUGAAGGACGUGAUAAGCUGCGAUAAGCUCUGGGUAGGUGCAAAUAACCUUUGAUCCAGAGAUUUCCGAAUGGGACAACCCGGCAUUCUGAAGGAAUGUCAUCCAUCUUUGAUGGAAGCUAACGCAGGGAACUGAAACAUCUUAGUACCUGUAGGAAAAGAAAAUAAUAAUGAUUCCCCUAGUAGUGGCGAGCGAACGGGGAAUAGCCCAAACCACCCAUGUUACGGCAUGUGUGGGGUUGUAGGACCACGAUGUCGCAAGACAUUUGAUGAGUAGAAUCCUCUGGAAAGUUGAACCAUAGACGGUGAUAGUCCGGUAUACGAAGUCAAAUUAAGCGUAGUGGUAUCCUGAGUAGCGCGGGACACGAGAAAUCUUGCGUGAAUCUGCCGGGACCAUCCGGUAAGGCUAAAUACUCCCGAGAGACCGAUAGCGAACCAGUACUGUGAAGGAAAGGUGAAAAGCACUUCGAAUAGAAGAGUGAAAUAGUCCCUGAAACCGUGCGCCUACAAGCGGUCGGAGCUGCUUAAGCAGUGACGGCGUGCCUUUUGCAUAAUGAACCUACGAGUUACUUUUUCCGGCAAGGUUAAGCAUCUUGAGAUGUGCAGCCGAAGCGAAAGCGAGUCUGAACAGGGCGUCGAGUCGGAAGGAGUAGACGCGAAACCAAGUGAUCUACCCUUGGUCAGGUUGAAGGUUAGGUAACACUAACUGGAGGACCGAACCGAUAAGCGUUGAAAAGCUUCCGGAUGAACUGAGGGUGGGGGUGAAAGGCUAAUCAAACUUGGAGAUAGCUCGUACUCCCCGAAAUGCAUUUAGGUGCAGCCUUGUGAGUUACUAAUGUGAGGUAGAGCGACUGAUAAGAUGCGAGGGCUUCACCGCCUAUCAAGUCUUGAUAAACUCCGAAUGCGCAUUAGUUCUAUCACAGGAGUGAGGGCAUGGGUGCUAAGGUCCAUGUCCUAAAGGAGAAGAAUCCAGACCAUCAGCUAAGGUCCCCAAAUAAACACUAAGUUGAACUAACGAAGUCAGAUUGCUAAGACAGCUAGGAUGUUGGCUUGGAAGCAGCCAUUCAUUUAAAGAGUGCGUAACAGCUCACUAGUCGAGGAGUUUGGCGUGGAUAAUAAUCGGGCAUUAAGUGUUUUACCGAAGCUAUGGAUCAGUAAUGAUCGGUAGGGGAGCAUUCCACUCUGCGUCGAAGGUGAAGCGUGAGCUUUGCUGGAGCGUGUGGAAAAGCAAAUGUAGGUAUAAGUAACGAUAAAGGGGUGAGAAACCCCCUCGCCGAAAGACUAAGGUUUCCUGAUCAACGCUAAUCGGAUCAGGGUUAGUCGGGUCCUAAGGCUCAGCCGAACGGUGAGGCCGAUGGCAGAACAGGUUAAUAUUCCUGUACUACCUUAAGGAGUGACGUGGAGACGGAGCAGUGACAGCGCCGCGGACUGACGGAAUAGUCCGUUGAAGGGUGUAGAUGUUGAUCAUCCCAGGCAAAUCCGGGAUGAGAGUCGAACCUGAUAGUAUGGAGCGUUCUUCGGAACAAUCCAAUAGUGCGUGUAAGCAUACUCCCAAGAAAAUCCGCUAAACUUAAUCCUUAAGGUACCCGUACCGCAAACGGACACACGUAGUCGGUUGAAUAUACUAAGGCGCUUGAGUGAUUCACGGUUAAGGAACUAGGCAAA
RNAcentral lists this ribosomal RNA (1713 nucleotides) under Bacteroides thetaiotaomicron. RNAcentral's name for it is "bacterial LSU rRNA". It matches the Rfam family "Bacterial large subunit ribosomal RNA", at positions 1 to 1721 of the family's 2925-position model. The record is from RNAcentral. Lineage: Bacteria; Pseudomonadati; Bacteroidota; Bacteroidia; Bacteroidales; Bacteroidaceae.